AAAAUAUCUAAACCAAGCUCUCUAGCAAUUCCAACCCUUUGCUCCCACUCAUGGAAUCAUCGCCGCCGCACGACCGCCGGUGCAAGCGCGUCGCCGGCACGAAGUCGCGGCCCGGCGAGCUCAAGAGCAACGGGGAUAAGAAGAUCAAGAGAGACAGUGAAGUGGUGGAGGAGGAUCGCCGCUGCAAUCGCCGCGCCGGAGCGUGGCGGUGCGGCGAGGCGGCGGCGGUUGGGAAGCCGAUGUGCCGACAUCACUUGGCGCAGAGCAAGAGUUACCAGGAGAGGAAGAAAAAGAGAGAGGGAAGCGGAGACAGUGAUUCCGGCGAAGAAGACGGACGUGACCGGAAAAUCAACGCCGGCGGAUCGGAGAAUAAGAAGAAGAAGAAGAGGAGGAGGACCGCGAGUGAGUCUGAGUCGGAGUCGGAGCACAGGUCGAGGAAUCGGACUGUGAAAGCGAAGGUGAAUGGUAAAUCUGCAGAUUCCGGUAGUGUUAUGAAGAAGAGUAAACUAAAAGAGGAAAAGCCAAAGCCAAUGGAAAAGGGUGAGUCUAACAAAAUCAAGGGGAGCUUGAUGUGUCACCAGUGUCAGCGGAACGAUAAGAGUGGUGUUGUACACUGCUCUCUGUGUAAAUCAAAGCGGUUUUGCUAUGAGUGCAUUGAAAGAUGGUACCCUGGGAAAUCAAGAGAGGAAUUUUUGGAUGCUUGCCCAUUUUGCCGUGGCAACUGCAACUGCAAAGCGUGCCUGCGCGAGUUUUUGGUUAAACCUUGCCGAGAAGUUGAGCCCAGUGUUAAGUUACAGCGACUGCUUUACCUGUUAUAUAAGGCUUUGCCUGUGCUGAGGCAUAUAUAUAGUGAGCAGAGCUCUGAACUGGAGAUAGAAGCCAAAAUCAGAGGUGUACACUUAACUGAAAUGGACAUAAAGAGAACUAAAGUACACCAAAAUGAGCGAAUGUACUGUGACAAUUGUUCUACAUCUAUUGUGGAUUUCCACAGAAGCUGUCCAAACCCCAAUUGUUCCUAUGACCUGUGUCUUACUUGUUGCAAAGAGCUAAGGGACGGUCGGCAACCUGGAGGUAAUGAAGGAGAAACAUCUCACCAGCAAGCUCUAGAAAGAGCUCAUAAAGAAGUGAAAGGACAUUGCUGGGAGAGUAAAGUUGCCUCUACUUCUGAUGAUUCUAAAGUGGACCCAUCCAUUUCUUUUCCUAAUUGGAGAGCUGAUUCUGAUGGCAGUAUUCCAUGCCCUCCAAAAGAACGUGGAGGUUGUGGCAAUGCGAAGCUGGAAUUGAGGCGUAAAUUCAAAGCUAAUUGGGUAAUGAAGCUGCUAAAAAAUGCAGAAGAUGUUACUACUGACUUCAAGUGGCAAGAAGUUGAUAUUUCUCAAGGAUGUUCCUGGUGCCAGCCAAAUGAUUCCGAGGAAACCAAUGAUAGGAAGCCUGAAAGGAGGCAAGCAGCUUUCAGGAAAAACAGUCAUGAUAACUUCUUAUACUGUCCAGAUGCUAUUGACAUUUCAGACGAUGAGAUCGAGCAUUUUCAGAGGCACUGGAUGAAAGGGGAACCGGUGAUUGUCAGAAAUGUUCUUGACAAGACAUCUGGUCUUAGUUGGGAACCUAUGGUUAUGUGGAGGGCUUUCAGAGAAACGGGUGCUAAUGUAAAGUUCAAAGAGGAGACUAAAAGUGUAAAAGCCAUUGAUUGCUUGGAUUGGAAUGAGGUUGAGAUUAAUAUUCACCAAUUUUUCACGGGCUACUUAGCGGGUCGCAUGCAUAAAGAUAAGUGGCCAGAGAUGUUAAAAUUAAAGGAUUGGCCAUCAUCAACUUUGUUUGAGGAACGCUUGCCAAGACACUGUGCGGAAUUCAUUGCAGCGCUCCCCUACAGUGACUAUACUGAUCCCAAAGAUUCAAAUGCUGGUAUUCUCAAUCUUGCUACAAGACUUCCUGAAGGGUCGCUGAAACCUGAUAUGGGACCAAAAACAUACAUUGCUUAUGGAUUCUCCGAAGAGCUUGGUAGAGGUGAUUCAGUGACUAAGCUGCACUGCGAUAUGUCUGAUGCGGUAAAUGUUCUGACACACACAGCAACAGUGAAGAUUGAACCGUGGCAGCACAAUGCCAUAAAGAAUUUGAAGAGCAAACAUGAAGCUGAAGACCUUUGUGAACUCUACAAUGAAAAAAAUCACAAGAAGGGCAGGGUUAGAGGAACAUUGUUGAAGAAAACUCGCAACGUCCUGGUUAAGGGUGCUGAUUCUUCUGAAUAUACUAAAAGUGGUAAAGUUGUGGAGAAUGACCAUCUAGUGUCAACUCUGCAGGAUGGGAAGGGAAACAAACUGGACAGAGCACAGUCAUGUAGAACUUCACUUUUGUCAGAUUCUGUCGAUCCAGGCAUCCUUAGAUCUGAUGAAACAGAAUAUGUUCCGGAACCUCUUGCUACUACUGAACUAAAUGAAGUAAAGGUUGCGAGUGUUGAUCAUCAGAGGGAUGAUGUGCUAAAAUCCACCUCGCCUCGUGCAAAUGGAGUUGAAAAAGAGCAAGAGCGUGUUCAAUGUUCCAGUGACAUGAUCGGUGGAAGGCUUGAAGGGAAAGAUGCUUCAAGGGAUGCAAGUGUAAACACGCAUGCAACAAAGGAUUUCAAAGGUAGUGACAAGUUGGACAUUGUCCGUGGUGGUGCUGUUUGGGACAUCUUUCGUAUCCAGGACACUCCCAAGUUAAUAGAGUACCUGGAGAAACACAAAAAAAAAUUUCGCCACCUUAAUAAUCAUCCUGUAGAUUCUGUUGUUCAUCCUAUUCAUGAUCAGACUCUGUACUUGAAUGAGAGACAUAAGAAACAACUAAAGGAGGAGUUCGAUGUGGAGCCUUGGACAUUUGAGCAACAUCUUGGUGAGGCAGUUUUUAUUCCAGCGGGAUGUCCUCAUCAAGUGCGAAAUAGACAAUCUUGUAUAAAGGUAGCACUUGAUUUUGUAUCUCCUGAGAAUCUUGAAGUAUGUCUGCGAUUAACUGAAGAGUUCCGUUUACUCCCAAAAACCCACAGAGCCAAGGAAGAUAAAUUGGAGGUGAAGAAGAUGACACUCUAUGCUGUAAGUUCAGCACUGCGAGAAGCCAAAAAUUUGAUGCUGGGGCUUGGGUAAGAUUCAUUUUGUUUGAUUUAUAUUUGUUGCUAAGAUCUUCUUUUAAUUAUAACCCUAAACCCUAAAGUAAAAUAAUAAAACUCAGCAGGACACCCAGUUUAUAGAAGCGGGUUGGUGCAUUUCUGGGAAUCAAAAGAAAACCAAAGAAUAUAAUUCUUAAUUGCAGUAUAAAUUUAUCUCAUGAAAUGACUUACCGGUGGUCAUCUGUGUGGUGACGGUAGCAUCUGUUAAUUCAACCAUAUAUGUCUUUUCGGUAGGAUAAGUUUAGAGUCAACACCUACCCAUUUCUCAUCCUUCAGGCUUUUACUACCAAACAAACUUAGACUCUUGGGCUUAGUUACAGUGUUACACAAUAGCCCCGUUCUAGAAAGAACUUCCUCAAAUAACUAUCUCCAACCACUACACUAUGCAAUUUAACAAAUAAUCUGAGUCGUUUAUUCUUUAUGUUGAUAUGCAAGUAUUAUCACUUGGUCAUCUAAAUGUGCAAAGAAAUUCAGCCCGUCGGAUAAAAUUCGAAUUGUAAUCAAAUCAAAUGCCUAAAUGGUUUCCGAUUUGGCUUUAUUUUUGAACUAUUCAUGUGUGUGUAAGAAAUUAUUGAAUGAACAGUUCUGUUUCCUUAAAUAUCAAAUUUGAGGGAGUCUUCUUAGAACAGAACAGGCAUUCAUAUAUAUAGUCGUGGUUUAUUUUGAGGUUUGUUUUAAGGUUUGAAUUAAAUGAUGGCGGCUAGUACUAUUUUUCCAUCAUUGCUAGGCUCCUUGCAAAGUGCCAUAUUAGUAGUUUAUUGUUGGUGAUAAUUAAAAGUUGGAAUGCAAAACAAUUCUGUGGUAUUAUCCCAUCUGUAAGUAUGAGGAAGUUGGAGAUUCCAGGGUCAUGUCCGGGCAAUCUAUGAAACAUCAGAUGGGGAACGUUGGAGAAUGAAGUACCCAAUCUGCCAAUACAGGCCUUGCAUAAGUUCUUGGCCUCUCCACCCAUCUCCGAUUGCAUGCUUUAGAGUAGGCUAUUCAUUGCAACCACUUUGCGGGUUUAAAACAUGCUGAUAUUUGAGAUUUAUGUUUUGGGCGGGAACCUGGAUGUGCGUGAACACGAGUGGGGUGAGAAUGGAAUUCCCACAUUUGACCUAUAUGGUACAAGAUCUUGAGCAUCUCCCCUCAUUGUCAAUUGGUUUUGAGUUGGAUGCUUGGAUUUCUUCACGUCCUGCCGGGCGUUCUAGAGUUUUCUAUACUAGACUUCGACACCGUUUCUAAAUCUUUCUAUAACACCUCCAUCAAAAUAAAGACCACCAGUGGCUGGUCAUGAUUGUUCAACUACAUCUCUACAUCGGAAAUUUUCGGAGUGAACUCUCUAUUUGAUGCCUCAAGAGACAAUCCCUACAUAUAUUCUUAUGGUUUGUGGAUCGGGUUGUGUCAUUUACUUGCACACCUGUAUGCUCAAGGCACACAUAGCUGUUUCUUCUUUAUGUAAGGGCACACGUCAAGCCACACCCACAUCUCUACACCGGAAGUUUUCUGAAGUGAAUUCCUCUAGUCUAUGCCUCAAAAAACAAGAAUCCAUACAUACAUAUUCAUAUGACGUGUGGAUCGGCCCGUGUCAUUUCAUCCCGCACCGGUAUGCUCAAGCCACACCGUUCUGUUUCUUCUUUUAUUCAAGGACCAAUCAUGUCUUUGUUGCUGCAUUUCUUGUUCAGCCACACCCGUUGAGGAGGAAAUAAUUCUUGUUCAUAAUCUUGUGACCUAGUCUCAUAAUAGCCUUUGAACACCAUGGAGAAAUUGUUGGCAUUAUAAACAUUCUUGUCAACUCGAAGUUCUUGGAGUAUAGUGGUUGUUGAAUAUGAAAUUGAAGAAAUGUUUGCAAGCAGUUCAUGUUGAAGUCUCUAAUCCUCAAGGGGUAUGAUGGAUAUGAUGGAGGUAUAUGUUUCUCUAUGUCAGUUCAAGAGUAGGGUGAGCCGCACACAAGGAAGUGUGUCGACGUAGUAUACAUUGUUGGAUUAUUGCUUAACAGUUCAAGCUUUUGCACUUGGUGGUUUGUAGCAACCAAACUUUGGUUGUGCCAUGGAAGAGUUGCAGGUGUGUAGUGGUUGCGCUUUGUGUCUAUUCACGUGCAUUUUGGAGGAGUUGCAGCUAUCUCAUCCUCAUAUGGAGCUUCAAUUAAACAACCUUGGCUUGAAGGAAGCCACGUGUCUGGUGUUUUUGACGUGUUAACUGUAAUUCAUCUUGGAGGAGUUGCAUCUAUGGUGCAUGCCUCAUAGACAAGAUUUGAGCUGCCGUAUAAGAACCUUGGUUGUGAAGGAGGAAGCCACAUCAAUUCAGAACCUUGGUUGUGAAGGAGGAAGCCACAUCAAUUCGUUGACAAAUACACCAAUGACAAGGUGGAGUUGUGCCUGGUGUCUUUUCAAGUGCAUCUUGGAGGAGUUGCAACUAUGUUAGAGACUUAACGCGAACUGUUCGAGCUGCUAUGGCAACAACCAUCACGCUCAAUGUGUUGUGUCAUUGCCACACGUUAUUGAAUUGAAUCUUGGAGGAGUUGGAGCUAUGUGCAGGCCUCAUAGACAAUGAAGGAGCUGCUGUGUAAUUGUUCUUGUUUGUGAAGGAGGAAGCCGCAACAAUUUGUUGACAACAACACCAAAGAGAAGGUGGAGUUGUUGAUCAAGUGUAUUACUUUCUUCCAAGAACGUCAAAUGCAGAGAAAGAUGACAAGUAGGAGUAAAUGCCAGCAAAUCUACAUUCUAUCUCAUUAUUAUUUUAUCAGUAACAAAAGUUUAUGUAUUUGCAUAGGGUGACAGUUUUGGAGGUAUUGGCUAAUUGCAUAUGUUGAAGGUUGAAUCUUUUGGGAUGUAGAUUGUUCCAUUUUCCUACAUGGAGAUUAGUUUAUAACAUAAGUUAUGCAUCCGGAAUUUGCGCA
This is an RNA transcript of Rosa rugosa (rugosa rose), 6011 nucleotides long. It is a transcript of the gene named lysine-specific demethylase JMJ27-like, with no coding region annotated. Lineage: Eukaryota; Viridiplantae; Streptophyta; Magnoliopsida; Rosales; Rosaceae. The transcript is spliced from 13 exons. The record is from RefSeq and is a predicted model, not a curated record.